RNAcentral lists this ribosomal RNA (497 nucleotides) under uncultured bacterium. RNAcentral's name for it is "partial 16S ribosomal RNA". It matches the Rfam family "Bacterial small subunit ribosomal RNA", at positions 28 to 507 of the family's 1533-position model. The record is from RNAcentral.
GAUGAACGCUGGCGGCGUGCCUAAUACAUGCAAGUCGAGCGAACAGACGAGGUGCUUGCUCCUCUGACGUUAGCGGCGGACGGGUGAGUAACACGUGGAUAACCUACCUAUAAGACUGGGAUAACUUCGGGAACCCGGAGCUAAUACCGGAUAAUAUAUUGAACCGCAUGGUUCAAUCGUGAAAGACUGUUUUGCUGUCACUUAUAGAUGUAUCCGCGCCGCAUUAGCUAGUUGGUAAGGUAACGGCUUACCAACGCGACGAUGAGUAGCCGACCUGAGAGGGUGAUAGGCCACACUGGAACUGAGACACGGUCCAGACUACUACGGGAGGCAGCAGUAGGGAAUCUUCGGCAAUGGGCGAAAGCAUGACGGAGCAACGCCGCGUGAGUGAUGAAGGUCUUCGGAUCGUGAAACUCUGUUAUUAGGGAAGAACAAAUGUGUAAGUAACUAUGCACGUCUUGACGGUACCUAAUCAGAAAGCCACGGCUAACUACGUG